This is a non-coding RNA of Schistosoma mattheei, 48 nucleotides long. The record is from Rfam. NCBI's taxonomy places the organism in Eukaryota, Metazoa, Platyhelminthes, Trematoda, Strigeidida, Schistosomatidae.
CUCCGGCUGAUGAGUCCCAAAUAGGAUGGAAUGCGCAUCAAACUGGAU